UGGGUGGGGCGGGGGUGAGAUCAGAGGUGUGUGUGGUGUGAGGCGAUUGGGCAACACCUGGGAUAUUCGUCAAAGACAGAACCAGGAGGGAGAGCUCACCUUACGUGAACUGCAGACGGAACAGCUGAAGGCCGGGAGGACAGAACACCCGCAGAACCGGCCCAGGAGGAAGAUUGACUCAGGCCCCACCUGAGGCCCAGCCACCAGGCUGCCCAGCUCUGGGCCAACUCGCUUCACCCUCCAGGGGAGUAGAGACCCUCAGGGACCUGGCAGUUCAGGGGGAGGAGGGAAGAGCAUCCAGAAGGCGGAAGGCAGGAGGGACUCAGCUCCAGAGAUAAGCCCCUUCGGUGGCCCUGGGUCCUCAGACUCAGCCACGGCGCCAAAUGAGCCACAGAUGUUUUUGCAGGUAAUUCUCACAACCGGUCACCUCAGGAGGUGGGUUCUGCAGCUGUUCCCCUUUCACAAGAGGCGGAAAUGGAGCCUCGGGGAGAUUAAGCGACUUGCCCCAGGUUGGUGGGUAGGGACAUUGAGAGGCCAAAUUGAGUAAAGAGGAACGAAAAAGAGAGCUACCACGUGAUCCUGCACUCCCAGUCGUGGGCAGCUCUCCCCAGAAAACCGUGAUUCGAAAAGAUACAUGCACUCCGGUGUUCAUUGUAGCACUUGUUACAACAGCCACGACACGGAAGCAAGCCAGAUAUCCAGCAAUUGAGGAAUAGAUAAAGAAGAGGUGGGACAUGUAUACAGUGGAAUAUUACCAGCUAUAAAAACAAUGAAGCAAGGCCAUUAUAGCAACAUGAAUGGACCUAUAGAAAUGAUCAUUCUCAAUGAAGUAAGGCAGACAUCUAGCAUAUGAUAUCACUUAUAUGUAGAACCUGAAAAAAAAAAAAAAAAAAAAAAAGGAUACAGGGAGUUCCUGUUGUGGCUCAAUGUUAACAAACCUGACUGGUCUCUAUAAGGAUGUGGGUUCGAUCCCUGGCCUUGCUCAGGGGGUGAAGGAUCCAGAGUCGCCGUGAGCUGUGCUGUAGGUCACAGAUGCAGCUUUGAUGCGGUGGGGCUGUGGCUGCGGCCCUGGUGUAGGCCAGCAGCUGCAGCUCCAAUUCGGCCACCAGGAACCCGAGCCUGGGAACAUCCAUAUGCUGUGGGUGUGGCCGUCAAAAGCCAAAAAAUAAAAAUUAAGAAAAAAUUUUAAGAUAAAAGUGAUCUUAUUUACCAAACCGAAAUAGACCCACAGACAUAGAAAACAAACUUACGGUUACUAAAGGGGAAAGUGAGCAGGAUAAAUUAGGAUAAAUUAGGAGGAGGAUGGGAUUAACAUCCACACCCGACACUAUGCAUAAAAUAGAUGGUCAACAAGGACCUCCUGUGUAGCACAGGGAACUCGAUUCAAUAUUUUGUAAUAUCCUAUAAGGGAAAAGAAUCUGAAAAAGAAUAUAAAUAUUUUAUAUAUAUAUGCUUAUGUAUUAUAUAUAACACAUGUUAUAUAUAAUAUAUAAAACCGAAUCACUUACAUAUAUCGGAUGUAUAGUUAUAUAUGUAACUGAGUAUAGAGAC
This 1551-nucleotide long non-coding RNA is filed under the name Sus scrofa (pig). Its description in RNAcentral is "lncRNA (ENSSSCG00060028683.1)". Lineage: Eukaryota; Metazoa; Chordata; Mammalia; Artiodactyla; Suidae. The record is from RNAcentral.